RNAcentral lists this ribosomal RNA (670 nucleotides) under Sordariomycetes sp. genotype 90. RNAcentral describes it as "eukaryotic LSU rRNA". The stretch from base 217 to 670 matches the Rfam family "Eukaryotic large subunit ribosomal RNA", at positions 1 to 462 of the family's 3401-position model. The record is from RNAcentral. Lineage: Eukaryota; Fungi; Ascomycota; Sordariomycetes.
AAUCUUUGAACGCACAUUGCGCUCGCCAGUAUUCUGGCGAGCAUGCCUGUUCGAGCGUCAUUUCAACCAUCAAGCUCUGCUUGCGUUGGGGAUCCGCGGCUGCCCGCGGUCCCUCAAAAACAGUGGCGGGCUCGCUAGUCACACCGAGCGUAGUAACUCUACAUCGCUAUGGUCGUGCGGCGGGUUCUUGCCGUAAAACCCCCCAAUUUCUAAGGUUGACCUCGGAUCAGGUAGGAAUACCCGCUGAACUUAAGCAUAUCAAUAAGCGGAGGAAAAGAAACCAACAGGGAUUGCCCUAGUAACGGCGAGUGAAGCGGCAACAGCUCAAAUUUGAAAUCUGGCUUCGGCCCGAGUUGUAAUUUGUAGAGGAAGCUUUUGGUGAGGCACCUUCUGAGUCCCCUGGAACGGGGCGCCAUAGAGGGUGAGAGCCCCGUAUAGUCGGAUGCCGAUCCAAUGUAAAGCUCCUUCGACGAGUCGAGUAGUUUGGGAAUGCUGCUCAAAAUGGGAGGUAAAUUUYUUYUAAAGCUAAAUACCGGCCAGAGACCGAUAGCGCACAAGUAGAGUGAUCGAAAGAUGAAAAGCACUUUGAAAAGAGGGUUAAAUAGCACGUGAAAUUGUUGAAAGGGAAGCGUUUGUGACCAGACUUGCGCCGUUCCGAUCAUCCGGUGUU